RNAcentral lists this unclassified non-coding RNA (1978 nucleotides) under Hevea brasiliensis (rubber tree). Lineage: Eukaryota; Viridiplantae; Streptophyta; Magnoliopsida; Malpighiales; Euphorbiaceae. The record is from RNAcentral.
UAUCAAGCUUCUUUCUCUGUUUUAAAUGCUUUUGUAUGGAUUCAACAAGUCUGACGUGAGCCCCCUCCCUUCCUUUUAUUUCCCCUCAUCUUUAGGCUUUUCCCUUCUCUACAUAUAUUCACUUCUUCACUUUCUUUUCAUUCAUUCUUCAAAUUUUCAUUUUAAAAAAAUGGCUCAAUUUUGCUUAUUUCUUCUUUUAAUCUCUCUUGUUUCUGUCCCCUGUGUUCUCUCUCGUUCUUUGUCAUCUUCUUCACAUCCUCACACCCAAAUCUUCGAUGUUGCAGCAUCCAUUGAGAAAACUGUUCAAGUUCUUACUCCUGCUACACAAAGUUUUCAACAAGAAGCAAUUAAGAGUGCCCAUUUUAAUUCUUCUUCAAUAUCUGUAUCAAUUUAUCCUCGUUCAGCUCUUGUUAAGCCCCGCCAUAAAGAUUAUGCAGCUCUCACUCUUUCUCGACUUGAACGUGAUUCGGCUCGAGUUUCUUCACUCACCAUGAAGCUCCACCUCGCGUUAAACAACUUUAAUCACUCGGAUCUCAAGCCGGUGGAGACCAUGGUGCAGCCUGAGGACCUACAGACUCCUAUUACCUCUGGAGCUAGACAGGGGAGCGGUGAGUACUUUACUCGGCUCGGCUUGGGUCAACCGGUUAAGCAGUAUUAUAUGGUGCUUGACACUGGCAGUGACAUCACUUGGGUUCAAUGUGAGCCGUGCUCUGAUUGUUAUCAGCAAUCGGAUCCAAUUUUUAGCCCGUCGAGUUCUUCUACAUACAGUCGGCUCUCUUGCGACGCAGCUCAGUGCUCGGCUCUUGAGGUUUCGGCUUGUGCUAGUAGUCAGUCGUGUCUCUACCAGGUCUCUUAUGGAGACGGCUCGUUCACUGUUGGAGAGUUUGCAACUGAAACGGUGUCGUUUGGUGACUCUGGUUCGUUCUCUGAAGUUGCUAUAGGUUGUGGCCAUGAUAACGAAGGGCUAUUCGUCGGUGCCGCUGGCUUGAUUGCUUUAGGCGGCGGCUCUUUAUCUCUACCAACUCAAAUCAAAGCGUCGUCGUUUUCCUACUGUUUCGUAGACCGUGACUCUGCUUCAUCCUCAACGCUGGAUUUUAAUUCAGCCCGACCCGGUGACUCCGUAAUCGCACCGUUGCUCCGUAACUCGAGAAGGAGCACUUUCUUCUACGUCGGACUCACCGGAAUCAGUGUCGGUGGGCAGAUGCUGUCGAUUCCGGCGUCGGUGUUUCAGGUGGACAGAAGUGGUAGCGGCGGGAUAAUUGUGGAUUCCGGAACAGCGGUGACUCGGUUAAAGAACACUGCUUACAACACUCUACGUGACUCGUUCAGGAAGUACACUCAGCAUUUACCUUCCGCCGGGCAAUUCGCACUGUUCGAUACUUGCUACGACUUGUCGUCGAUGAAAAGAGCGAGUGUUCCAACGCUGUCGUUCCAUUUCUCCGGCGGUAAAGCAUUGCCAUUGCACCCGAAAAAUUACCUAAUCCCGGUGGAUUCGUCGGGAAAAUUCUGCUUGGCUUUUGCUCCGACGGAUGGGUCGCUGUCAAUUAUUGGAAACAUACAGCAGCAAGGGACACGUGUCAGUUAUGACCUGGCCAACAAUCUUGUUGGAUUUAGCCCCGACAAAUGUUGAGUAAGAAAUAGUAACACACUCUGCAUCUCCAUUCUCCAGUAACUGCUUUUACCAAUAUUAAUUAUUAUUGUAAAAAUAUUAAAAGCAGUAUACUUUGUUGGAAGAGAAAAAAAAAAUAAAAGAAGCAAAUGAAGGGUAGGUGAUGGAUAAUGAAUUUAUAUUAAUUAUGGAUGGUAGGGUUGUUUUUUUUUAAAAUUAUGAAUGUAAUGGGUGUAGUUUUUUAAUUACUCACAGGAAAUUUGAAAGGCGAGAGAUUGAAAAGUAGUUGGAAAUUAAAUGAUUGUACUACUGUAAUUAUUAAUUAAUAAUACUCCUGUAUAAGGUUGGAAAGGAAGAUGAGAAUGGUUG